UGGACCAAUAUGACUACUGGUGGCAUAUGAGUCAUGGGUGAGGAAUGUGGGUGAUGAUACGUGUGGAACUGUUGAGGUCCAG
Molecule: small nucleolar RNA, 82 nt
Filed under: Rhinolophus ferrumequinum (greater horseshoe bat)
Lineage: Eukaryota; Metazoa; Chordata; Mammalia; Chiroptera; Rhinolophidae
Description: Small nucleolar RNA SNORD113/SNORD114 family (ENSRFEG00010005178.1)
Rfam family: Small nucleolar RNA SNORD113/SNORD114 family
About the family: The imprinted human domain at 14q32 contains two clusters of tandemly repeated small nucleolar RNAs named 14q(I) and 14q(II) snoRNAs. These two clusters are named SNORD113 and SNORD114 respectively in the HGNC approved gene symbol nomenclature. The snoRNAs found in both clusters are clearly related and are represented here by a single family.
Source: Rfam by way of RNAcentral